CCUACGGGAGGCAGCAGUCGAGAAUCAUUCACAAUGGGGGCAACCCUGAUGGUGCGACGCCGCGUGGGGGAAUGAAGGUCUUCGGAUUGUAAACCCCUGUCAUGUGGGAGCAAAUUAAAAAGAUAGUACCACAAGAGGAAGAGUCGGCGAACUCUGUGCCAGCAGCCGCGGUACUACAGAGGUCUCAAGCGUUGUUCGGAAGCACUGGGCGUAAAGCGUGCGUAGGCUGUUUCGUAAGUCGUGUGUGAAAGGCGCGGGCUCAACCCGCGGACGGCACAUGAUACUGCGAGACUAGAGUAAUGGAGGGGGAACCGGAAUUCGCGGUGUAGCAGUGAAAUGCGUAGAUAUCGAGAGGAACACUCGUGGCGAAGGCGGGUUCCUGGACAUUAACUGACGCUGAGGCACGAAGGCCAGGGGAGCGAAAGGGAUUAGAUACCCUUGUAGUC
This 446-nucleotide ribosomal RNA is filed under the name uncultured bacterium. RNAcentral describes it as "partial 16S ribosomal RNA". It matches the Rfam family "Bacterial small subunit ribosomal RNA", at positions 338 to 795 of the family's 1533-position model. The record is from RNAcentral.